RNAcentral lists this transfer RNA (73 nucleotides) under Euryarchaeota archaeon RBG_19FT_COMBO_69_17. Its description in RNAcentral is "tRNA-Asp". It matches the Rfam family "tRNA". Rfam says of the family: Transfer RNA (tRNA) molecules are approximately 80 nucleotides in length. Their secondary structure includes four short double-helical elements and three loops (D, anti-codon, and T loops). RNAcentral also lists the same sequence under 7 other names. The record is from RNAcentral. Lineage: Archaea; Methanobacteriati; Methanobacteriota.
GCCCCGGUGGUCUAGCGGUCUAUGAUCCCGGCCUGUCGAGCCGGGUGCUCGGGUUCGAAUCCCGACCGGGGCG